UACGAAGGGGCGAGCGUUGUUCGGAUUUACUGGGCGUAAAGGGCGCGCAGGCGGUCUUGAAAGUCAGGCGUGAAAGCCCCGGCUUAACCUGGGAAUUGCGCUUGAUACUCUGAGACUGGAGUACGGGAGAGGAGAGUGGAAUUCCAGUGUAGAGGUGAAAUUCGUAGAUAUUGGGAAGAACACCAGUGGCGAAGGCGGCUCUCUGGACCGUAACUGACGCUGAGGCGCGAAAGCGUGGGGAGCAAACAGG
This 250-nucleotide ribosomal RNA is filed under the name uncultured bacterium. RNAcentral's name for it is "partial 16S ribosomal RNA". It matches the Rfam family "Bacterial small subunit ribosomal RNA", at positions 524 to 776 of the family's 1533-position model. The record is from RNAcentral.